This 517-nucleotide ribosomal RNA is filed under the name uncultured bacterium. RNAcentral's name for it is "bacterial SSU rRNA". It matches the Rfam family "Bacterial small subunit ribosomal RNA", at positions 992 to 1509 of the family's 1533-position model. The record is from RNAcentral.
AGAACUUAGCAGAGAUGCUUUGGUGCCUUCGGGAACUCUGAGACAGGUGCUGCAUGGCUGUCGUCAGCUCGUGUUGUGAAAUGUUGGGUUAAGUCCCGCAACGAGCGCAACCCUUAUCCUUUGUUGCCAGCGGUCCGGCCGGGAACUCAAAGGAGACUGCCAGUGAUAAACUGGAGGAAGGUGGAGAUGACGUCAAGUCAUCAUGGCCCUUACGAGUAGGGCUACACACGUGCUACAAUGGCGCAUACAAAGAGAAGCGACCUCGCGAGAGCAAGCGGACCUCAUAAAGUGCGUCGUAGUCCGGAUUGGAGUCUGCAACUCGACUCCAUGAAGUCGGAAUCGCUAGUAAUCGUGGAUCAGAAUGCCACGGUGAAUACGUUCCCGGGCCUUGUACACACCGCCCGUCACACCAUGGGAGUGGGUUGCAAAAGAAGUAGGUAGCUUAACCUUCGGGAGGGCGCUUACCACUUUGUGAUUCAUGACUGGGGUGAAGUCGUAACAAGGUAGGCGUAGUGCU